CGAAAAGGGGAGCUGGGUAUGCCCGGCUGAGAGAAGGGGACACGACCCCGGAAACCCUCGAACCUGAUCCGGAUAAUGCCGGCGUAGGAAGCA
This 93-nucleotide non-coding RNA is filed under the name bovine gut metagenome. The record is from RNAcentral.